This 468-nucleotide ribosomal RNA is filed under the name uncultured bacterium. RNAcentral's name for it is "partial 16S ribosomal RNA". It matches the Rfam family "Bacterial small subunit ribosomal RNA", at positions 28 to 507 of the family's 1533-position model. The record is from RNAcentral.
GACGAACGCUGGCGGCGUGCUUAACACAUGCAAGUCGAACGGAAAGGCCCUGCUUUUGUGGGGUGCUCGAGUGGCGAACGGGUGAGUAACACGUGAGUAACCUGCCCUUGACUUUGGGAUAACUUCAGGAAACUGGUGCUAAUACCGGAUAGGAGCUCCUGCUGCAUGGUGGGGGUUGGAACGUUUCGGCGGUUGGGGAUGGACUCGCGGCUUAUCAGCUUGUUGGUGGGGUAGUGGCUUACCAAGGCUUUGACGGGUAGCCGGCCUGAGAGGGUGACCGGCCACAUUGGGACUGAGAUACGGCCCAGACUCCUACGGGAGGCAGCAGUGGGGAAUAUUGCACAAUGGGCGGAAGCCUGAUGCAGCAACGCCGCGUGCGGGAUGACGGCCUUCGGGUUGUAAACCGCUUUCGCCUGUGACGAAGCGUGAGUGACGGUAAUGGGUAAAGAAGCACCGGCUAACUACGUG